RNAcentral lists this ribosomal RNA (490 nucleotides) under uncultured bacterium. Its description in RNAcentral is "partial 16S ribosomal RNA". It matches the Rfam family "Bacterial small subunit ribosomal RNA", at positions 30 to 507 of the family's 1533-position model. The record is from RNAcentral.
AUUGAACGCUGGCGGCAGGCCUAACACAUGCAAGUCGAACGGUAACAGGAAGAAUCUUGCUUCUUUGCUGACGAGUGGCGGACGGGUGAGUAAUGUCUGGGAAACUGCCUGAUGGAGGGGGAUAACUACUGGAAACGGUAGCUAAUACCGCAUAACGUCGCAAGACCAAAGAGGGGGACCUUCGGGCCUCUUGCCAUCGGAUGUGCCCAGAUGGGAUUAGCUAGUAGGUGGGGUAACGGCUCACCUAGGCGACGAUCCCUAGCUGGUCUGAGAGGAUGACCAGCCACACUGGAACUGAGACACGGUCCAGACUCCUACGGGAGGCAGCAGUGGGGAAUAUUGCACAAUGGGCGCAAGCCUGAUGCAGCCAUGCCGCGUGUAUGAAGAAGGCCUUCGGGUUGUAAAGUACUUUCAGCGGGGAGGAAGGGAGUAAAGUUAAUACCCUUGCUCAUUGACGUUACCCGCAGAAGAAGCACCGGCUAACUCCGUG